RNAcentral lists this long non-coding RNA (350 nucleotides) under Gossypium raimondii (Peruvian cotton). Its description in RNAcentral is "long non-coding RNA (GRAI_LNC010262)". The record is from RNAcentral. Lineage: Eukaryota; Viridiplantae; Streptophyta; Magnoliopsida; Malvales; Malvaceae.
AGAGUACUAUAGGACAACAAAACCAGACAAGUCCUCCAUUAAGUAAUUUAGGUAAGUCAAAGGAGAGAAAGAAAACCCUUUAAACACAUUAGAAACAUGUUUAAAGAUGUGGUCUAAUCAAAUCUUGUCUUUUAAACACAUACAUGUGCAUAUAUUUAUAUACCUUCUUCAUCUCAUAAAAGGUGUUUAUAACUUGUCCAGAGGCAGCCCAUGAGUCCAAGGCAGAAAGAGCUAUGUGUUCAAUAUCAGGAAUUAGCUUCCUGAUGGUAUCAGGUGCUAGUGAGUAUUGAACCAACUUCCUUAGCCGAGUGUGGUAUUCACCCUGGUGAAAGAAGAGCGCCCAAGGGCCA